Tripterygium wilfordii is the source of this 822-nucleotide long non-coding RNA. RefSeq lists it as uncharacterized. The record is from RefSeq and is a predicted model, not a curated record. Lineage: Eukaryota; Viridiplantae; Streptophyta; Magnoliopsida; Celastrales; Celastraceae. The transcript is spliced from 2 exons.
AGGAAAAAGUUAAUAAUUUUCCUUACCUGCCUGCCCUUGGCUGUUCAAAAAAAACUAUUUGGACUACUUAGACCCGUCGCGAAAUCUCUACUAAAGGAAGCUCGCAGACAAAGGAAACCUCACUAAACUCUAGUGCGCGAAUCCUAAUUCUAGAAAUUGACUCGCGCGAGAGACGAGCAACGCAGAGCUGGUGGCCAAGUUUUGUGAAGCAACAGAUCUCGCUAGUCGCUUCACUUUUUCGGUAGGUCUACGUUGUGGUUGGUACUCAGGUUUGUUGAUCGCCUUCUCAUAAUUCGUACUUUCUUCCUGAUCGUCGCGUAGUUUCCGGUCGUUGUUAGGGUUCACGACGCCGUUCGUAAUCUGUUUCUUGAUCGCCUUCUCUUGAUGACUGGUACUCUCUUACUCCUUGUAGUUUGCUGUUUGUAGGGUUUACGAUGGUGUCGAUAAUUGUUUUUCUUGGUCCCCUUCUCAUGUCUGCAUGCACAGGAGAAAGGAAAUUAUCUUCCCUCGUGUUAUUGGGAGGUAUGCAAUGUGCAAAUCUUCUUUACAUGCAUCAUGCAUGUCCUUGUUCGAGCAAAGAAUUAGGUGGUGGUUGGUAUUAGUUUUACUUGUUAUCACUUAUCAGUAAAUAUGUUUAAUACAUAUUUGUGGAUAGCUGGUUAUGGUGAAUAAUACUGUUUAGGAUAUAUUUCUCAACAUACUAUUCAUGCUUCUUUCCCCCUAACAUGUACUGUGUCUGUACCACCUAUUGGAAAACAUGAUUGUCGCAGAGUAUGCCAUGCAAAUUUUAAAUUAGAAUGUUGCGGAAUUAUCUGAUUUUUU